RNAcentral lists this ribosomal RNA (497 nucleotides) under uncultured bacterium. RNAcentral describes it as "partial 16S ribosomal RNA". It matches the Rfam family "Bacterial small subunit ribosomal RNA", at positions 28 to 507 of the family's 1533-position model. The record is from RNAcentral.
GAUGAACGCUGGCGGCGUGCCUAAUACAUGCAAGUCGAGCGAACGGACGAGAAGCUUGCUUCUCUGAUGUUAGCGGCGGACGGGUGAGUAACACGUGGAUAACCUACCUAUAAGACUGGGAUAACUUCGGGAAACCGUAGCUAAUACCGGAUAAUAUUUUGAACCGCAUGGUUCAAAAGUGAAAGACGGUCUUGCUGUCACUUAUAGAUGGAUCCGCGCUGCAUUAGCUAGUUGGUAAGGUAACUGCUUACCAAGGCAACGAUGCAUAGCCGACCUGAGAGGGUGGACGGCCACCCUGUAACAGAGACACGGUACAGACUCCUACGGGAAGCAGCAGUAGGGAAUCUUACGCAAUGGGCGAGAGCCUGACGGAGCAACGCCGCGUGAGUGAUGAAGGACUUCGGAUCGUAAAGCUCUGUUAUUAGGGAGGAACAAAUGUGUAAGUAACUGUGCAGAUAUUGACGGUACCUAAACAGAAAGCCACGGCUAACUACGUG